AGAGUUUGAUCCUGGCUCAGAGCGAACGCUGGCGGCAGGCUUAACACAUGCAAGUCGAACGGGUACCUUCGGGUGCUAGUGGCAGACGGGUGAGUAACACGUGGGAACGUACCUUUGGUUCGGAAUAAUACAGGGAAACUUGUACUAAUACCGGAUACGCCCUUCGGGGGAAAGAUUUAUCGCCGAAAGAUCGGCCCGCGUCUGAUUAGCUAGUUGGUGAGGUAAUGGCUCACCAAGGCGACGAUCAGUAGCUGGUCUGAGAGGAUGAUCAGCCACAUUGGGACUGAGACACGGCCCAAACUCCUACGGGAGGCAGCAGUGGGGAAUAUUGGACAAUGGGCGCAAGCCUGAUCCAGCCAUGCCGCGUGUGUGAUGAAGGCCUUAGGGUUGUAAAGCACUUUUGUCCGGGAAGAUAAUGACUGUACCGGAAGAAUAAGCCCCGGCUAACUUCGUG
This 454-nucleotide ribosomal RNA is filed under the name uncultured Allobosea sp. Its description in RNAcentral is "bacterial SSU rRNA". It matches the Rfam family "Bacterial small subunit ribosomal RNA", at positions 8 to 507 of the family's 1533-position model. Lineage: Bacteria; Pseudomonadati; Pseudomonadota; Alphaproteobacteria; Hyphomicrobiales; Alloboseaceae. The record is from RNAcentral.